RNAcentral lists this small nuclear RNA (332 nucleotides) under Jaculus jaculus (lesser Egyptian jerboa). RNAcentral's name for it is "7SK RNA (ENSJJAG00000007886.1)". It matches the Rfam family "7SK RNA". Rfam says of the family: 7SK was discovered as an abundant small nuclear RNA in the mid-70s but a possible function has only recently been suggested. Two independent studies have found that 7SK RNA binds the CDK9/cyclin T complex (known as elongation factor P-TEFb). Lineage: Eukaryota; Metazoa; Chordata; Mammalia; Rodentia; Dipodidae. The record is from Rfam by way of RNAcentral.
GGAUGUGAGGGCAAUUUAGUUAGGUUAUCUGUCACCCCAUUGAUUGCCAGGGUUGAUUCUGCUGAUCUGGCUGGCUAGGCAGGUGUCCCCUUUCUCCCUCACCAGUCCAUGUGUGUCCCUCUCAAAACUGAGCACUCAAUCGAUUAGGACAACCUUCCCUCAACAGAGGACAACUGUACUUCUGUCACAGGUAUAUGAGUAGCUGCACUGCCAUGCUAGAACCUCCAAACAGGAUCUCAAGGUCCAUUUUUAGAAGAGCAUGUGGUAGUCAAGCUUGCAAGAUUCGAGACACAUCCAAAUGAGGUGGUAAAUAUGCCAGUCUGCCUGUCUUG